UGGUUAAUUCUGUUCUGUGG
RNAcentral lists this unclassified non-coding RNA (20 nucleotides) under Mus musculus (house mouse). RNAcentral's name for it is "oocyte_clustered_small_RNA9470". Lineage: Eukaryota; Metazoa; Chordata; Mammalia; Rodentia; Muridae. The record is from RNAcentral.